This 497-nucleotide ribosomal RNA is filed under the name uncultured bacterium. Its description in RNAcentral is "partial 16S ribosomal RNA". It matches the Rfam family "Bacterial small subunit ribosomal RNA", at positions 28 to 507 of the family's 1533-position model. The record is from RNAcentral.
GACGAACGCUGGCGGCGUGCCUAAUACAUGCAAGUUGAGCGAUGAAGAUUGGUGCUUGCACCAAUUUGAAGAGCAGCGAACGGGUGAGUAACGCGUGGGGAAUCUGCCUUUGAGCGGGGGACAACAUUUGGAAACGAAUGCUAAUACCGCAUAACAACUUUAAACAUAAGUUUUAAGUUUGAAAGAUGCAAUUGCAUCACUCAAAGAUGAUCCCGCGUUGUAUUAGCUAGUUGGUGAGGUAAAGGCUCACCAAGGCGAUGAUACAUAGCCGACCUGAGAGGGUGAUCGGCCACAUUGGGACUGAGACACGGCCCAGACUCCUACGGGAGGCAGCAGUAGGGAAUCUUCGGCAAUGGACGAAAGUCUGACCGAGCAACGCCGCGUGAGUGAAGAAGGUUUUCGGAUCGUAAAACUCUGUUGGUAGAGAAGAACGUUGGUGAGAGUGGAAAGCUCAUCAAGUGACGGUAACUACCCAGAAAGGGACGGCUAACUACGUG